GCGGUUUUAUAAAAUCCCAUUCUUUUUUUCCCCCUUCUUUUUCCCCUGAAAUCUUUUUCUUUUUUCCCCAUUUUUUUUUUCCCAAACCAUUUCUCCUUUAUUUUUUUGCCCCCAAUUUCCCCAAAUCGACAGCCCUCUGCAUUUCCGUUGUCCCGCCCAUUUUCGCAACCUCGACUUCGGUGAAUGAAACGACUACCUCAAAGGCGUCAUCACCGAUGUU
RNAcentral lists this long non-coding RNA (220 nucleotides) under Gossypium raimondii (Peruvian cotton). RNAcentral's name for it is "long non-coding RNA (GRAI_LNC005627)". Lineage: Eukaryota; Viridiplantae; Streptophyta; Magnoliopsida; Malvales; Malvaceae. The record is from RNAcentral.